Molecule: ribosomal RNA, 301 nt
Filed under: uncultured bacterium
Lineage: Bacteria
Description: partial 16S ribosomal RNA
Rfam family: Bacterial small subunit ribosomal RNA
Source: RNAcentral
CAGCAGCCGCGGUAACACGAAGGGUGCAAGCGUUACUCGGAAUUACUGGGCGUAAAGCGUGCGUAGGUGGUGGUUUAAGUCCGUUGUGAAAGCCCUGGGCUCAACCUGGGAAUUGCAGUGGAUACUGGGUCACUAGAGUGUGGUAGAGGAUAGUGGAAUUUCCGGUGUAGCAGUGAAAUGCGUAGAGAUCGGAAGGAACAUCUGUGGCGAAGGCGACUAUCUGGGCCAACACUGACACUGAGGCACGAAAGCGUGGGGAGCAAACAGGAUUAGAGACCCCGGUAGUCCCUGUCUCUUAUAC